UGAGGAAUAUUUGUCAAUGGACGCAAGUCUGAACCAGCCAAGUAGCGUGCAGGAUGACGGCCCUAUGGGUUGUAAACUGCUUUUAUAUGGGGAUAAAGUGGGGAACGUGUUCCCUUUUGCAGGUACCAUAUGAAUAAGGACCGGCUAAUUCCGUGCCAGCAGCCGCGGUAAUACGGAAGGUCCGGGCGUUAUCCGGAUUUAUUGGGUUUAAAGGGAGCGUAGGCUGUCUAUUAAGCGUGUUGUGAAAUAUACCGGCUCAACCGGUGGCUUGCAGCGCGAACUGGUCGACUUGAGUAUGCAGGAAGUAGGCGGAAUUCAUGGUGUAGCGGUGAAAUGCUUAGAUAUCAUGACGAACUCCGAUUGCGCAGGCAGCUUACUGUAGCAUAACUGACGCUGAUGCUCGAAAGUGCGGGUAUCAAACAGG
RNAcentral lists this ribosomal RNA (424 nucleotides) under Verrucomicrobiota bacterium. RNAcentral's name for it is "Verrucomicrobia bacterium partial 16S ribosomal RNA". It matches the Rfam family "Bacterial small subunit ribosomal RNA", at positions 355 to 776 of the family's 1533-position model. The record is from RNAcentral. Lineage: Bacteria; Pseudomonadati; Verrucomicrobiota.